This 487-nucleotide ribosomal RNA is filed under the name uncultured bacterium. Its description in RNAcentral is "bacterial SSU rRNA". It matches the Rfam family "Bacterial small subunit ribosomal RNA", at positions 29 to 518 of the family's 1533-position model. The record is from RNAcentral.
AUGAACGCUGGCGGCGUGCCUAGCACAUGCAAGUCGAGCGGAGAUACAUGUCUAAGAGAUUUCGGUCGAAUUAAUGUAUCUAGCGGCGGAUGGGUGAGGAACGCGUGGAGAACCUGCCCUUCACAGGGGGAUAACAGCUGGAAACGGCUGUUAAUACCGCAUAUGCUCACAGGAUCGCAUGAUCCAGGGAGGAAAGCCGAGACGGUGAAGGAUGGCUCCGCGUCGGAUUAGCCAGUUGCGGGGUAACGGCCCACCAAAGCGAUGAUCCGUAGCCGGCCUGAGAGGGCGACCGGCCACAUUGGGACUGAGACACGGCCCAAACUCCUACGGGAGGCAGCAGUGGGGGAUAUUGCACAAUGGGGGGAACCCUGAUGCAAGCGACGCCGCGUGAAGGAGGAAGUGCUUCGGCAUGUAAACUUCUAUCAGCAGGGAAGAAGAUGACGGUACCUGACUAAGAAGCCCCGGCUAACUACGUGCCAGCCGCCGC